GUAGACAGAGAAUAAUCAGGUGCCUCCCUGCGGUGCGAUGAGUUCUACACGGAGAUUACAGACACCGGGAAGUGAGGACGUAAUGGGAGGAGGAAAAGCUGACUUGGCACACGCCCUCUGUGCUGUGGGUCGCCCUGACCCAGGAUUGUACGGCAUGCCCUGACAGACUUGGGUGCGUCCUGCUGGAAGCCACGUGCUUAACUCUCACAUCACCGCAAGAAGAAAGAAAAGGAUUCCCAAAGGAAGUGACCCCUUGGUCCAAGACAGCCUCUUGAUUAAAUCUUCCUGUUAGAGCUUUGAGAAAAAACAGAGCCGAUUGGAUGAUGUCUUCUCCACUUUCUGAGUUGAUACUUUUAUAAAAUACAGUAAAAUUAUUACCAGUGAAUUACUGGAUAUCAAGAUGAAGAAUUUCAAGAUGAUUCUAGAAUGGCUGCUUCUAGGUAUAAUGAAGUAAAAGAGACUGAUUCAUUCUUCCCCUUAAAGCAAUUAGAAAACCAGAAAAAUAUAUGAAGUAAUGUUUUGUAGAUACUGGACACAAUACCAUGCAGACAUGUGAUCCCUUCAGAAAUGGUGCUAUGGUUUGAACGUAUGUGUCCCUCCAAAAUUCAUAUAUUGGAACUUGAAUCCCA
Long non-coding RNA from Propithecus coquereli (Coquerel's sifaka), 629 nucleotides. RefSeq lists it as uncharacterized. The record is from RefSeq and is a predicted model, not a curated record. The transcript has 4 exons. Lineage: Eukaryota; Metazoa; Chordata; Mammalia; Primates; Indriidae.